UUGAAAUGCCACUUCGGAUAUGUCGUACCCAAAGAAGGAAAUGAAGUAAAAAUAAUACUUAUAGUUAUAAUUAAUAAUAAAAAUAGUACUAACUUGGAAAUUUAUUUCUAACUCGUCUGUCCUUUGGCACAUUCCCAUAAAGUUUGCCUUUUGGCACGUUUCUCCUAAUCUCAGUGGUUGCUGUUGCCGUGGUUUCACCAUUGAUGAAUCGGCUAUGG
Molecule: long non-coding RNA, 218 nt
Filed under: Carica papaya (papaya)
Lineage: Eukaryota; Viridiplantae; Streptophyta; Magnoliopsida; Brassicales; Caricaceae
Description: long non-coding RNA (CPAP_LNC012679)
Source: RNAcentral